Molecule: long non-coding RNA, 435 nt
Filed under: Panax ginseng (ginseng)
Lineage: Eukaryota; Viridiplantae; Streptophyta; Magnoliopsida; Apiales; Araliaceae
Description: long non-coding RNA (PGIN_LNC019113)
Source: RNAcentral
AACGCUCCUCCAACCCCAUGCCACGAAUAUCUUUAUUCCACCAAAACUCACUACUUUCAAACCAUUUUGGUUUUGUUAUACUCGUCCCAAUAUUAUGCUCCUUUUCUCCCUCCAACUCCUUCAUCUUUCCGUCGUGUCCUUCAUUAUGUUCCUCCGCUAUGUUUUUGUCCCCUAAGGGUUGCCCAGAUCUACGCUUCGAAACGGCAACUUGUUGGCUCUCUUCGUCGUCUAUUUCAUCCAUAUUAAUCUUUCUUUUGCACUGUAUUUGCUUUUUCUCCUUGUUACUAUUCACGCUAGCCAUCGUUUUAAGUGCGAGAGUGAUAGGGUGAAGAAUUAAUAAGAAAAGAAGAGUGAUAGGAUUGAUGAAGAAUUAAUAAGAAAAGAAGAAAAGGUGGAAGAAUUAUUAGGGCUUGUGUAGAUGCAAAGAGAUGUAUU